RNAcentral lists this ribosomal RNA (465 nucleotides) under Triticum aestivum (bread wheat). RNAcentral describes it as "partial small subunit ribosomal RNA". Lineage: Eukaryota; Viridiplantae; Streptophyta; Magnoliopsida; Poales; Poaceae. The record is from RNAcentral.
AUGUGGACGUUGAGAACUGUGAACACGCUGCGCGAACGGCGGCAGCGCCUGCGCUGCCACCAGCCUGCCCCGGAAGAAGAGCUCGAUGGCGCCGGACUGGAUCACGACGCCGAUCUUGUGGUUGGGGUUGGAGAUGUUGGCCGUCAGCGUCAUGUCGCCGUUGAAGUAGGGAGGAGGCGAGCCGACAUAGAUGCUGUGGAGGGCGGCAUUGGCGACGUCGAAGGACAGCGUCCUCGGCUUCACCGCCAGGUAGACGGUGAGGAUCACCAGGCCGGCGAGGAUGAGGAGGACGCUGAAGGCGAAGCAGACGAUGGCAGCGCACCACAUCGCGGGGCUGGUCCGGUGCCGCGGCUGCAGGAUGAUCUUGGGCGGCGGCGGCUCCGGCUCCUGCCGCUUCAUGCUGAUGAUCUUGGUGACGAUGGCUCUUGGAGACAGGAGGUGGUAUGGAGUAGGAGUGGCCAUUGA